UACGGGGGGGGCAAGCGUUGUUCGGAAUUACUGGGCGUAAAGGGCUCGUAGGCGGCCAACUAAGUCAGACGUGAAAUCCCUCGGCUUAACCGGGGAACUGCGUCUGAUACUGGAUGGCUAGAGGUUGGGAGAGGGAUGCGGAAUUCCAGGUGUAGCGGUGAAAUGCGCAGAUAUCAGGAGGAACACCGAUGGCGAAGGCAGCUCGCUGGGACGGUACUGACGCUGAGGCGCGAAAGCGUGGGGAGCAAACAGG
RNAcentral lists this ribosomal RNA (253 nucleotides) under uncultured bacterium. RNAcentral describes it as "partial 16S ribosomal RNA". It matches the Rfam family "Bacterial small subunit ribosomal RNA", at positions 524 to 776 of the family's 1533-position model. The record is from RNAcentral.